Long non-coding RNA from Mauremys mutica (yellowpond turtle), 4605 nucleotides. RefSeq lists it as uncharacterized. NCBI's taxonomy places the organism in Eukaryota, Metazoa, Chordata, Testudines, Geoemydidae. The record is from RefSeq and is a predicted model, not a curated record. The transcript is spliced from 6 exons.
GUAACUGAUUGCUAUUCUGUGUGAUGUGCUGGCUGCUUAUUUUUUUAUUUUUGAGUUUCCUGUUUCUUGUUCAUUGAGCUACCUAAAAUACAUAAGAAAUAUAUGUUGCUAUUCAACCUUUUUAAGUUUUCUAUUAAGACUUCAUGGUUGCAAAGAACAUCCUGAAAACAAAACAACUGUAAAGGAUGCAGUGUUGUCUUACUGAGUCUGCAGACAAUCUGAAGCACUACAUUCUGAGAGAAAACUGCUCCAGUCACCUCAACAGGUUAAGUCAGAAGCCUAAGCAAGACAAGGCUGUUUUUUGUGAAUUGCUGAUGAAAACCACUCUGACCAAAGACUUUUUCAUGGAUCUCUGCCAUUUAAGACUUUAAGAGCUCCUUCUCCCCACUACUAUGUUUAAACAGAAAACAUUCAUACUCAUCAACUGAUUCUGUCCAUCUCUACAAACUACCACAGACAGCAACGAACAAAAAAGAAGACUCUAGAGGAAACCAACUUAAAUAGAACCUCCCCAACACUUCAGCAUUGAUUGGUGAGAGAAAGUUAACAGACAGGGAGGCAGUGUGGGGAUUGGAGCCCCGAGCCCCACAACCCCAGAGGGGCUGGAGCCCAGAGUCCUGUGUCCCAAGUCGUGUGGAAGGCUGGAGCCCUGAGGGGGGCUGAAGUCUGGAGCACCGGAGGUGGCAGAGGAGCUGAAGGAUUGAGUCCUGCAGAGGGCUGAAGGCUGCAGCCCCAUGCCCCAAUGGGGGCUGAAGGUUGGAGCCCCAUAGGGCUGAAAGUAGGGGAUCACAUUUUUUCUACCAUGUUCUUCAGAUUGGAGCUAGAUUAGCCUGGAAAGCCAGACUGAAACUGAACAUGGAGGGAAAUUGAAAUAAGAGAAUAAUCGUUGGUAUCCAGAGAACGAAGGCCCAUCUAGCAGGCUUCUACAUAUAACCAUGGAAAAAACAAUGUACCAUUUCCAAAAUUCACAAUCAAAAUGUGCAAUUUUAGAGGAGAACAAAAACAUAGUCACAAAGGGGCAUUAAGUAUUUUAUUGAUUAUUUGAAGGUGGGAAGCCAGAUUCCACUAUGCUUAUGUGUAUGUUGUAAAAUUGAUAGUAGAUUGUAAGGAUACCAAAGAAAAUGUAAAUAUGCCAAAAUGUGCUGUUUCUCUUCUAAGAGAUACUUAACUCUGAAGGACCUGAAGCCAUUCAUUACACCAUCAAAUGCAGUCAGAGUUAGAAAUUAAUUACAGCAUGACAUAUUGAUGGAAACAAAGCUAAAAUUAUCCUGUCAGCAACAAUAGGGCAGCUGAAUAUGGUCAGUGAAGGUUACCCCAUGAUAGAGCUGAUGGUAACUAUUCUAAAAACAUUUAUCCUGCUAGACUGAGGGAACAAGAUGGAAGAUGGGGGGAAAAACAGGGGAUAGGAAUUUUUAGGGAAAAAUGGCAGGAAAGAACUAAAGAUAUAAUUUGUUUGGCACUCCCCUUCUAUGAAAUUCUAGACAUAUUCCCUGUAUUCUCUUUAAACAAAGAAAUUUUGUUAAUUUGUUUGGUGUUUGCAAUCAGUCUAUUAUACAGCAUGACAUUCCCUACUCAGAACACUGAAAAUGUAUUUACAUGCUGCACUGAAAUUUUCCAGAAUCACCAUGCCGGUCCAUUGCAUCAACCGGUGAUAUGCAUGUAACAUCAGCUUUAAAAUAUAUAAUAAAAAAACCCUGCAACUACUUUACUUAACUAAACUGAAGGAUAAAUGCAGUAGGUAUCCCCAAGUGACGAGGCUAAUGAACAUAUACUAACUAAUGAACUUGUUUUCUAAAGUCAUGUAUGAAAUGUUAUGUAUAUCAGCUAUCCUAGCAAGUUGAGUCAUGGAUGACCUAAUUUAUUUGCAGAGCACUUUUAGUGUCAAAUUUAAUGAUUUCAACUGAUUUAAUACAAUAGAUAAUGCAAGCUGUCAACCUUAUAUGCUGGUUGCUUUCUUAAGGUCAGCUCAUUAGCAUAGAUAAUUAGCCUGGCUCAGCCAAUUAGUUUCUAAAUAUUACCAUAAUUGCUAUUUCUCUCUCUGUCUCCCCUCUUCCAUCAUCCUAUUUUUAGAUAGCAAAGCUCCUCCCCCAAUGCCAUUUUGGGUAGAGCUCCUUCCUCUGACAUCAUAUUUAGCCUUAGCUCCUCCCCUGGAGGUCUUGGGAGAAAUGUUGAGUCAUUCCCUAUUAAUUGACAGAAUUUUCCAUACCCUAACCCAAUGUCUUUCAUAAAGGAUUAUUGAGUCCACCAUUUUGGAUUUCUAACUCUAACCUAUAACUAAUUACUAUUUAUCUAAAGCCUUAAUCUUAAAACUAACUGCUGUUUUAUGCAAGUCAAAGUGUCCUGAUACUGUCACUACCUUAAUUAUAUCAGUUGGGAGAAGUGAAAUUUUUACUAUAUUUAAACCCCCUUUUCAGUUUCUCUUCAAGGCAUUGCAAAGUCUUUCAGAGCAUCUAAAAGCAAAAUCCUUCAUUACAAUCCCUUCCUUGCUGGGUUGUAAACUUGUUUACAAAUCAAGCAUUUCAUAAUUUGGUGAGUCCAAGGAGUGUGGGGUCUUGUCCCGUGCUGGCUCAAGGCUUUUCCCUUCAGGACACUGAGCCCACAUUUCUCCAUACUGGCACAAUUCCUCACUACUCUUGAUUCUCACCUUGGUCACACCUGCCUGUGUGCCAUAGUAAUUUCUUUUAAGACUGAGGGACUGCAUAUGCUUUAGCUGCCUGAAUUUUUGUUUGAUCCAGCACACCAAAAUAAUAAGCAUAAUUGCUAUCAUAAUUUGAGAUGCCAAGAUUAUUAUAGGAUAUAAAAUUACUUUCAAGAAUCCUGUACCUGUGGGAGACCUUCUCAAAAAUACUUCCCACUGGUUGUGUUUAGUAUCACUUUUGCUUUUCGUAAUUGUUUUUGCAAUCAGAACGAUUUAUUAAUUGCUUAACUAAACUUAUAUUUAAUCCUAAAACUAUCAGGUCAGUUCUCCUAUAUAUCUGGUAUUGGUCUUUAAUUUCCUCAUUCUCAAUUUCAAGUAGUGUGAACUUUGAAAUCGCAACCAAAUACUGAGGUAAUGUUACACAAGCAUUUGUUCUCAGAGGGGUUCUGAGUUACAUUGUAUAUAUGAUUUACUUGAAACAAUGUACACCAGCUUCUGAUACAUACACGUUUUCUUCCAAUGUUAUGCAAGUGAUCCAUUGAACAGAAAAGAAUCUAGCUGAUAAUGACAUUUUCCUCCUUCUUUAUUUAAACAUACAUCAUAAGGUUGGAUUGCAUUAUUACAAACAUAUUCAAUUCCACGUUCCGCCAUACAAGCCUCAAGUUCCCCAAUUUUCCAUGUCUUACUUUUCUUAUCGCUCAGAAUUUGUGUUCUAUUGACUGUGUUACAUUGGUGUUAACAUUUAACCCAAGUGCUUUGAUAGGAGAUAGCCAUUCAGUUCAGGCAUUAGAUAUCAUAAUUAUAUAUGUAGUAACUUGGUUUAAUUGAGGAUUGUAUGUGAAGUUUACCAUCUUCCACCAUGAACAUUACCUUUGUUCAUCCUUAGUGGCAUGUUUCCACAUUAUACUUCUUAUUUCUAAGGGUAAAAUUCCACUCAUUCCAUCUCGUAUAAUAUGUUCUACCACAUCAUUGCUCCAAGUCUGUGAUUGUAUACAUGCCAAUGCCAGAGAUACAUUACUUUGUAAAAGGGCUGUUCUUAGAAUUUAUGGGGCCCUAUGCAGUAUUUAUAAACUGGUGCCCCUAUGCCUGAUGGCAGCCUGGGCUCGUAUGUGUAUUUUAGAUAAGGGUGGUCUUUUGAAGGAUUUAUUUAAAAAAACUAUGUGUCUGAAGAUCCAAGCAGUUAAGGCUAAAGAUGAAUACUCAGAUUAUGCAUCUAAAACUCUAAGCAAGGAUUUUUUAGAGAUGUGAUUUUAUAAUCUUUAGCAACACACUAAAGAAAUAUUUUAAAGCAAAUUUUAAACUAAGGUCCUGUAGACUAACAUGUAAAUAGUAUAGUAAUGCACAACUGUUUCUGUCAGUAAAUUCAGAAACUGACAGUAUAUAUACCUGGGGCUUGGCAAAUGCCUGUUAAAUGGCUUCAUUACCACUUGGAUGGCUCUUUAACAGUUUCAAUGUUGUGCUAAUAGGUCUGGGAGGCUUUUUCACUUUUAAGUACUAGAUCCCCUCUGGAGGAAGCCUCACCAGGCUGCAGCAGCCAGACUGUGGAGGGAGCCUGCUGGAAGGGUCAGACCCAGGAAGACCCCAAACUUUAGGGUGCCCUACACAGCCGCGUAUGCUGCAUAUGGCUAAAGACGGCCCUGCUUUGUAACACCUCCACUGUGUUUAAGAUGGCUAAAUGAUCUGCUCUUUUGCAACUUUUCCCAGCCAGGGAGUAAAGCAGCUAUAAGGUAAUGGCUAGUAUUUAUAUCAUUUAAAGAUGUUGUCAAAGGUUUAGACACAGCUCCCAAAUGUUGUCCCACUGCCUUUAACUUAUUAGUCAAUACUUGUUCAUCUAUACUAUUUAAUAUUCCAAGCCCUGUACCUGUUCCUCCUAAGAGUGUAUCCAUCAAACUUUUUUUCUUUCUAUUAGCAGGAGCUUUCAAUAAAAGUUGGAUUUCCAUCUUUCAAAUAAAAGUCCAGUAUAUUUA